GGGUGUAGGCGGCUUGGCAAGUUGGUUGUGAAAUCCCUGGGCCCAACCCCAGGAACUGCAAUCAAAACUGCCUCGCUAGAGUCCCGGAGAGGGUGGCGGAAUUCCCGGUGUAGAGGUGAAAUUCGUAGAUAUCGGGAAGAACACCCGUGGCGAAGGCGGUUCUCUGGGACGGUACUGACGCUGAGACGCGAAAGCGUGGGGAGCGAACA
Molecule: ribosomal RNA, 209 nt
Filed under: uncultured bacterium
Lineage: Bacteria
Description: partial 16S ribosomal RNA
Rfam family: Bacterial small subunit ribosomal RNA
Source: RNAcentral